This 250-nucleotide ribosomal RNA is filed under the name uncultured bacterium. RNAcentral's name for it is "partial 16S ribosomal RNA". It matches the Rfam family "Bacterial small subunit ribosomal RNA", at positions 524 to 776 of the family's 1533-position model. The record is from RNAcentral.
UACGGAGGGUGCGAGCGUUGUCCGGAAUCACUGGCGUAAGGGCGCGAUAGGUGGCGGUCCAAGUCAACGGUGAAAGCUCGGGCUCAACCCCGAGUCGGCCGUCGAUACUGGGUGCUUGAGCACUGUAGAGGCAGAUGGAAUUCCGGGUGUAGCGGUGGAAUGCGUAGAGAUCCGGAAGAACACCGGUGGCGAAGGCGGUCUGCUGGGCAGUAGCUGACACUGAGGCGCGACAGCGUGGGGAGCAAACAGG